GAUACAGGAUUAACGUGUGGUGAG
This 24-nucleotide non-coding RNA is filed under the name Arabidopsis thaliana (thale cress). Lineage: Eukaryota; Viridiplantae; Streptophyta; Magnoliopsida; Brassicales; Brassicaceae. The record is from RNAcentral.